Molecule: long non-coding RNA, 310 nt
Filed under: Elaeis guineensis (African oil palm)
Lineage: Eukaryota; Viridiplantae; Streptophyta; Magnoliopsida; Arecales; Arecaceae
Description: long non-coding RNA (EGUI_LNC079557)
Source: RNAcentral
CGCGGCAGCCUCUUCUCAUGUUCAUCGAAAAUUAAAGGUCAAAGAGGCCACUGGAGUUCAGGUAAGGGUUCAAUCUUUCUUCCUCUCCCUCUUCUCCUUCUUCCCAUGGUUUUAGACUCCUCGCCGGCCGUCAGGAUCGUCGGAAAAUCCAUAAACAAGAUGACCCCUGUUUUUGCUCUGUUCGGCCGGGACCUUUUUUCUCCCUUUUUCUGGCCACCGACGCCGCCGGUUGCGGCGUCCCAUCCCCGAGACCGGACUCCCAUCUCUCUCUCUUCCUUCCCUGAAAAUCUUGGCCACCGGCGACCGGCCA